GGAGGGAUCAUUACCGAGUUAUACAACUCAUCAACCCUGUGAACAUACCUAUAACGUUGCCUCGGCGGGAACAGACGGCCCCGUAACACGGGCCGCCCCCGCCAGAGGACCCCCUAACUCUGUUUCUAUAAUGUUUCUUCUGAGUAAACAAGCAAAUAAAUUAAAACUUUCAACAACGGAUCUCUUGGCUCUGGCAUCGAUGAAGAACGCAGCGAAAUGCGAUAAGUAAUGUGAAUUGCAGAAUUCAGUGAAUCAUCGAAUCUUUGAACGCACAUUGCGCCCGCCAGUAUUCUGGCGGGCAUGCCUGUUCGAGCGUCAUUACAACCCUCAGGCCCCCGGGCCUGGCGUUGGGGAUCGGCGGAAGCCCCCUGCGGGCACAACGCCGUCCCCCAAAUACAGUGGCGGUCCCGCCGCAGCUUCCAUUGCGUAGUAGCUAACACCUCGCAACUGGAGAGCGGCGCGGCCACGCCGUAAAACACCCAACUUCUGAAUGUUGACCUCGAAUCAGGUAGGAAUACCCGCUGAACUUAAGCAUAUCAAUAAGCGGAGGAAAAGAAACCAACAGGGAUUGCCCCAGUAACGGCGAGUGAAGCGGCAACAGCUCAAAUUUGAAAUCUGGCUCUCGGGCCCGAGUUGUAAUUUGUAGAGGAUGCUUUUGGUGAGGUGCCUUCCGAGUUCCCUGGAACGGGACGCCAUAGAGGGUGAGAGCCCCGUCUGGUUGGACACCGAUCCUCUGUAAAGCUCCUUCGACGAGUCGAGUAGUUUGGGAAUGCUGCUCUAAAUGGGAGGUAUAUGUCUUCUAAAGCUAAAUACCGGCCAGAGACCGAUAGCGCACAAGUAGAGUGAUCGAAAGAUGAAAAGAACUUUGAAAAGAGAGUUAAAAAGUACGUGAAAUUGUUGAAAGGGAAGCGCUUGUGACCAGACUUGGGCUUGGUUGAUCAUCCGGGGUUCUCCCCGGUGCACUCUUCCGGCUCAGGCCAGCAUCAGUUCGCCCUGGGGGAUAAAGGCUUCGGGAAUGUGGCUCUCUCCGGGGAGUGUUAUAGCCCGCUGCGUAAUACCCUGUGGCGGACUGAGGUUCGCGCAUUCGCAAGGAUGCUGGCGUAAUGGUCAUCAGUGACCCGUCUUGAAACACGGACCAAGGAGUCGUCUUCGUAUGCGAGUGUUCGGGUGUCAAACCCCUACGCGAAAUGAAAGUGAACGCAGGUGAGAGCUUCGGCGCAUCAUCGACCGAUCCUGAUGUUAUCGGAUGGAUUUGAGUAAGAGCAUACGGGGCCGGACCCGAAAGAAGGUGAACUAUGCCUGUGUAGGGUGAAGCCAGAGGAAACUCUGGUGGAGGCUCGCAGCGGUUCUGACGUGCAAAUCGAUCGUCAAACAUGGGCAUGGGGGCGAAAGACUAAUCGAACCUUCUAGUAGCUGGUUUCCGC
Molecule: unclassified non-coding RNA, 1424 nt
Filed under: uncultured Hypocreales
Lineage: Eukaryota; Fungi; Ascomycota; Sordariomycetes; Hypocreales
Description: sequence contains 18S rRNA gene, ITS1, 5.8S rRNA gene, ITS2, 28S rRNA gene
Rfam family: Eukaryotic large subunit ribosomal RNA (bases 495-1424)
Source: RNAcentral